UGUAAUAUAAUUCUACAAUGUAC
Molecule: non-coding RNA, 23 nt
Filed under: Rattus norvegicus (Norway rat)
Lineage: Eukaryota; Metazoa; Chordata; Mammalia; Rodentia; Muridae
Source: RNAcentral